AUUUAGCCUGCUAGUCGCACGAGUUCAGACUCGUGGCGAAUAGCUCAGUAACACGUGGCCAAACUACCCUUCGGAACACAAUACCCUCGGGAAACUGAGGCUAAUAGUGUAUACCAUACCACCACUGGAAUGAGUGGUAUGCCAAACGCUCCGGCGCCGAAGGAUGUGGCUGCGGCCGAUUAGGUAGACGGUGGGGUAACGGCCCACCGUGCCAAUAAUCGGUAUGGGUCAUGAGAGUGAGAACCCAGAGACGGAAUCUGAGACAAGAUUCCGGGCCCUACGGGGCGCAGCAGGCGCGAAAUUUUUACACUGCACGACAGUGCGAUAGGGGGAUCCCAAGUGCACAGGCAUAGCGCCUGUGCUUUUCGGUACCCUAAGGCGGUACCAGAAUAAGGGCUGGGCAAGACCCGGUGCCAGCCCGCCGCGGUAAUACCGGCAGCCCAAGUGAUGGCCGAUCUUAUUGGGCCUAAAGCGUCCGUAGCUGGCCGCGCAAGUCCAUCGGGAAAUCCACCUGCUCAACAGGUGGGCGCCCGGUAGAAACUGCGUGGCUUGGGACCGGAAGGCGCGACGGGUACGUCCGGGGUAGGAGUGAAAUCCCGUAAUCCUGGACGGACCGCCGAUGGCGAAAGCACGUCGCGAGAACGGAUCCGACAGUGAGGGACGAAAGCCAGGGUCUCGAACCGGAUUAGAUACCCGGGUAGUCCUGGCCGUAAACAAUGUCUGCUAGGUGUGGCUCCCACUACGAGUGGGUGCUGUGCCGUAGGGAAGCCGCUAAGCAGACCGCCUGGGAAGUACGUCCGCAAGGAUGAAACUUAAAGGAAUUGGCGGGGGAGCACUACAACCGGAGGAGCCUGCGGUUUAAUUGGACUCAACGCCGGACAUCUCACUAGCAUCGACUGUAGUAAUGACGAUCAGGUUGAUGACCUUAUCCGA
Molecule: ribosomal RNA, 933 nt
Filed under: archaeon Fa2
Lineage: Archaea
Description: bacterial SSU rRNA
Rfam family: Archaeal small subunit ribosomal RNA
Source: RNAcentral